CGAAGACCGGAGCCGCGAGCGCCACCAGGGCAGCAGCCGCCGCAGCCGCCGCCGCUGGGCUGAGGAGCCGGAGACGCGGGCGGACGAGGUGGCGGCGGCGGCGGAGAGGGAGCGGGGACCGGGCGCGGGCAGAGCGCGGCGGCGCGGGUGUAUUCCAGAGAACAGGUCUUUAAAACAUCUUUUUGCCAUAUUUGAUGCUGAGCUGUCAGAGGACUCAGGCUUAUGAGGAGGUACUGUCACACAAAACAGUGUCUAGUAAAGACGACAAGAAAGAGAGGAAAGGAUCGAAAAAAGAAGCUAAAAUAUUAUAGAAAACCAUGAGAUCUAUUCGAUCUUUUGCCAAUGAUGAUCGCCAUGUUAUGGUGAAACAUUCAACAAUCUAUCCAUCUCCAGAGGAACUAGAAGCUGUUCAAAAUAUGGUGUCUACUGUUGAAUGUGCUCUUAAACAUGUCUCAGAUUGGCUGGAUGAAACAAAUAAAGGCACAAAAUCAGAGAGCGAGACAGAAGUGAAGAAAGAUGAGACUGUAGAGAAUUAUUCCAAGGAUCAAGGUGGUCGGACAUUGUGUGGUGUAAUGAGGAUUGGUCUGGUUGCAAAAGGCUUGCUGAUUAAAGAUGAUAUGGAUUUGGAACUGGUUUUAAUGUGCAAAGACAAACCCACAGAGACCCUGUUAAGUACAGUCAAAGAUAAUCUUCCAAUUCAGAUUCAGAAACUUACAGAAGAGAAAUAUCAAGUGGAACAAUGUGUAAAUGAGGCAUCUAUUAUAAUUCGGAACACUAAAGAGCCCACGCUGACUUUGAAGGUGAUACUUACUUCCCCUCUAAUUCGGGAUGAACUGGAGAAGAAAGAUGGAGAAAAUGUUGCGAUGAAAGAUCCUCCGGACUUAUUGGACAGGCAGAAAUGCCUGAACGCCUUGGCGUCUCUUCGACAUGCCAAAUGGUUUCAGGCAAGGGCAAAUGGAUUAAAAUCAUGUGUAAUUGUCCUCCGCAUUCUGCGUGAUUUGUGCAACAGAGUCCCCACAUGGGCACCAUUAAAAGGAUGGCCACUAGAGCUUAUAUGUGAAAAGUCUAUAGGUACUUGUAAUAGACCUUUGGGCGCUGGGGAGGCCUUGAGACGAGUAAUGGAGUGUUUGGCAUCUGGAAUACUACUUCCUGGGGGCCCUGGUCUUCAUGAUCCUUGUGAGCGAGACCCAACAGAUGCUCUGAGCUAUAUGACCAUCCAGCAAAAAGAAGAUAUUACCCACAGUGCUCAGCAUGCGCUUAGACUAUCAGCCUUUGGCCAGAUUUAUAAAGUGCUGGAGAUGGAUCCCCUUCCUUCUAGUAAGCCUUUUCAGAAGUAUUCCUGGUCAGUUACUGAUAAAGAAGGUGCUGGGUCUUCAGCUCUGAAGAGGCCAUUUGAAGAUGGAGUAGGGGAUGAUAAAGAUCCUAAUAAAAAGAUGAAACGAAACCUAAGGAAAAUCCUGGAUAGUAAAGCAAUAGACCUUAUGAAUGCACUAAUGAGGCUAAAUCAGAUCAGGCCUGGGCUUCAGUAUAAGCUCUUGUCUCAGUCUGGUCCUGUCCAUGCCCCAGUCUUCACAAUGUCUGUAGAUGUGGAUGGCACAACAUACGAAGCCUCAGGACCAUCCAAGAAAACAGCAAAACUUCACGUAGCAGUGAAGGUAUUACAGGCAAUGGGAUAUCCAACAGGUUUUGAUGCAGAUAUUGAAUGUAUGAGUUCCGAUGAAAAAUCAGACAAUGAAAGCAAAAAUGAAACAGUGUCUUCAAACUCAAGCAAUAAUACUGGAAAUUCUACAACUGAAACCUCCAGUACCUUAGAGGUAAGAACUCAGGGCCCUAUCCUCACAGCAAGUGGCAAAAAUCCUGUAAUGGAGCUCAAUGAAAAAAGAAGAGGUCUCAAGUAUGAACUCAUCUCAGAGACUGGUGGAAGCCAUGACAAGCGCUUUGUAAUGGAGGUAGAAGUAGAUGGACAGAAAUUCAGAGGCGCAGGUCCAAAUAAGAAAGUGGCCAAGGCAAGUGCAGCCCUAGCUGCCCUGGAGAAGCUGUUUUCUGGACCCAAUGCGGCAAAUAAUAAGAAAAAGAAGAUUAUUCCUCAGGCAAAGGGUGUCGUGAAUACAGCUGUGUCUGCAGCAGUCCAGGCGGUUCGGGGCAGAGGAAGAGGAACUCUGACAAGGGGAGCUUUUGUUGGGGCUACAGCUGCUCCUGGCUACAUAGCUCCAGGCUAUGGAACACCAUAUGGUUACAGCACAGCUGCCCCUGCCUAUGGUUAAUACUUUUAAGCAGUUUUCAGCACGUUUAUCUCACUUUAUUCUCGUUCUCCUCGGACCUUCGUAGCCAUAUCACUUGUAUAAAAUAGGCUGAGAUAUAGUGACUGUAAGCUGUGAUCUCAGUAUACAAAGGACUGAACUUGACACCGUCAGCGUGGUUGAAGCAGCAGCCUGCAUGUGUGGACUCACCAGUGCCUCGCCCAGAGAUGCCUGGCCUUCACCCAAAGGGACCCUGCUGCCCCGACUCCCACAGGCAGCACCCACACUGUGGCUACUUUGCGCUGAGUAUGUUGGACUCUGCUGUAGACUGAUACUCUUGUCUGGCUGCUGCAGUUUGUCUGUAAUGCCCUGACAUGUUGCAUUUUCCCAAUUUGGAUGAAUAAAAAUAAAUGCUUCUGUGUUAAUGGCAGCGGGCUGAACUGUUCUGUGCAGGACCCGCCCUGGUGGAACAGAGACGAGACUCUGGCUUGAAAGGUUCAAGUGCUGGCCCCUCUCGCCUGGCCUGCAGGACUAGCUCAGUACGUCUCACACACAGGAUAAGGAGCUUUCUGACAGCCAGUGGGACCAGGGCCUAUUUCAUGUUCUUGCCUGUGAUCCUUAAAAUUCUGCUUCUCUGAGUGUGUGAAAAAGUUUACUCCCCUGAAACGUCAAGCUGGCAGUCUGGCUCAUGAGUGCGAGUCAGAGUUCGCCCGGAACUUUUCACACCCCUCACAUCAUGUCCUCAGGACCAUCCCAGGGGUUGGAAGACUCAGACAAGAUCAGGAACCCAAGGCUCAGAGAUAAAGGGACUUGCCCAAGGGCAUGGAGUUUCUAAAAUGCAGCAGCAAUGGGACUCCAAACCUGGAGCUCUCGCUAUUGCUCCUGCCAGUGCCCCUGCCAGUGCCCGCUGUGAGGUUCCUGCAAAUGAGCGGCCCUAGGAAGCAGAGCCCAAGACCAGGGUGAAGCUCCUGCGACUGCCUGCAGAGGGUGUUGACGAUUGCAGGAAAGGAGUGCGUGAUGAGUCAAGAGCGGAGCGCCAUAGCAGCUCAGCAACCCGAGAUGGGCGGAGCCUGCUGCAUAGAAGGGAAAAGAACUCAGAAAGGCUGAGCAAGAUGCAUCCAAGGUCAUGAAUGUGUUUGGGGUGCAGAGCUAUGUCCAUGUGGUCAUCUUAAACCGGAGUCCUGCUGGAGUUAGAAGUACAGGCUAACACUCCAGCCUGUGUGCUUGGCUAGGGCCCUGUGAGCCCCAGUUUCUUCACCUUUAAAAUGGGAGAAAGGGUGAGGAGCUUAGCGUUCAGGCCUGUUGUUCUUGGAGCAAGCACCUUAGUCAUUACUGUGUUAUGGUUCCCAGCCUCCUCUCCUACCACCCGGCCCUUACCCCAUGAAUCCAAGAGUGGGAUUUAAAUCCCAACCUCAGUUUCACACACAAAUCUCUAAGCAAUGAAAUGACUCUCCCAAGCCACUAGGGCCCACAUCACCUACCACACCCGCCUUGCACAGGCUCUUGCUUUCACAAUUGUUGGGUCAGUUCAGUACUGGGAAUGCUGUAGGCCUAUCUUCAGCCCUUAUGGAUUCCCCUUUCCUUCUCUCACUGCUCACCACCGGCCACUAGGGUUUGAAAGUAGAACAGAUGUGGAGACCUGGGGGCUGACACUUCUUGCUUUUUAAAAAAAUAUGGAAUGCUUUGCAAAUUUACAUCAUUCUUGUGCAGGGGUCAUGCUAAUAUUCUCUGUAUCGUUGCAACUUCGGUCUACGUGCUGCCGAGGGGAGCAUUUGCCUUCCUUUGGAGCUGCCUCCUUUCCCCAGAGUUACGGCAGUGCCCUGGAUCUGCUUGGCCUCAUUCUCACCACCUCUUGGAGCAGUCUGAACUGUGCCCAGUGGCAAGAUCAGAGCAGGAGUUCCCAGAACUGCCCUCCCUCCUGCCACAGUUAGUUCUCUUUGGCCCCUUGCUGCCCUUGCCCAGUUCCCUUUACAGCCAGGCUUCAUAACAUCCAUGUCUACCUGACUGCCUCCUCCCUCCACUGCACCAGCCACUCGCUGGCAGCCUCCCAGUUGCCAGAUCUAAUGACCCUAUAAUGAGCUGCCCUCACCCAAGAAGGUGCCCACGCCUUUCCUUCCUUCCCUUGAAUUUCCAUUCCCAGGCCCGUCUAGCCCGUGCUUGACCUGUGCACUGUCUGGAGUCUCUUCUGUUCUCCUGCCUAUAGGUUACAAGUUACAUUAAUGAUUCAGUACAGAGCAACUGCCUCCCCAACAUCUGGCAACACCUGGGGAUGUUUCUGGGCAUCAGGUGGGGUGUGUGCUGUCAGUGGGCAGAGGCCUGUGAUGCUGAUCAGCACUGUCACACAAGCUAGCCCUCAUCACCAUCAGCCAGAGACUUCUGGGUGACAGAUUCCAGACAUCUCCAACCAAGCAAUCUCAAAAAUCUAUAUACACUUAAAGCUAAAUCUAUCUUCCUGGUGUGCACUGUCCUCUCACCAAGUGUCCCUGACUCCAUUCUCACUCUGUUCCCUAUUCUGUCACCCCUGCUCAAACUAACUUCUCUUCCAAAUUUUCUUCCUAAAGCAUUGACAAGGAACUUCCCUGUGAAAGUUGGCUUAAAACUCUCCAGGGUUCCCCAUUACCUUUCAACUUCCCGAUGUGGUCCCAAAUUACCCAGUUCCCUCGCUGUUCCUCCCCCCCACAAGUCAUCCUCUUGCCUCUUUAUCUAGCAAAUCACUUAGUCACAAGUGCAAAAAGCUGUGUUACUAUCAUCUUGUCUGUCCUGCAAAUACCCCUUCAGUGGUCUCAUAGGGUUCUGUACCUCUGGAAGGUACUUACCAUUUGGCAUUGCAAUUACUAACCUCUCUCCAAUCUCAACCAGGAGCCCACCCUGAAAGGAGGACCCUCAUCUGAGUUAUGGAAUCCUUUCUCUGGGCCAGGGGCAGAGCUGCAGGGACCAGUAUUUCUACUGAGCCCCUACACUCCUGAACAUGGGGCAUUUGGGACUAGAAAACCAUGGAGCGAGCAGGCUGGCCAGCAAUAUGGAACCCAGAAAUAUGCCCUCCGGCCCAUGAGUGUUGCAAGGAUCCCAGCUGGCCUCUGCAAGGACACCUGCAUGGGCUGGGGCUCCCUUACCAUGUCCCUUUCUUCCUGCAGGCAUGAAGCCAUGGUCUCUGCAUUUUGGCCUGUUUCCAUGCAAAGGCUGUGUGUAGGGGGAUAUAUAUUGGAGAGUAGGUCAAACGGGGAGGGAAGCACCUUCAUCCUGUUGCAGAGGAGGAGAAUGAAGGGCAAAGAGGGAUAGCAGAAGGCCUGGGGGGCCUAUGGGGCAGGUAUGUGGAAGGACCAUCGUAAAGAGAAAGUCCUGCCACCACUUUCUCCGAGACCUGCAGAGCACACGUGGGCCCUGGGUACCUUUCUGCUCCUUGGCUGUUGCCCUACACACCUGCACCUUGGCCCCGGCAUUCCAUCUCCCCUCACUGCACGGUGAGAGAUGCGUUUAUCGUCUUUCCACACCUAACUCUACCCUUCCUUCCCUCUCCUGUAACACCCUCCCUGACCUCAAGGACACUCAGGUUUCUAUCCCUGUCACCAAAGCGCUGCACUCUUCAGGGAGGUCACACCCGCAACGACUGUAGGGGGGCUUCCUCUCUG
This is an RNA transcript of Sciurus carolinensis (gray squirrel), 5869 nucleotides long. It is a transcript of the gene named spermatid perinuclear RNA binding protein, with no coding region annotated. The transcript has 20 exons. The record is from RefSeq and is a predicted model, not a curated record. Lineage: Eukaryota; Metazoa; Chordata; Mammalia; Rodentia; Sciuridae.